RNAcentral lists this ribosomal RNA (879 nucleotides) under uncultured bacterium. RNAcentral describes it as "bacterial SSU rRNA". It matches the Rfam family "Bacterial small subunit ribosomal RNA", at positions 8 to 916 of the family's 1533-position model. The record is from RNAcentral.
AGAGUUUGAUCCUGGCUCAGGAUGAACGCUGGCGGCGUGCCUAACACAUGCAAGUCGAGCGAUCUUCUUCGGAAGAGAGCGGCGGACGGGUGAGUAACGCGUGGGUAACCUGCCUCAUACACAUGGAUAACAUACCGAAAGGUAUGCUAAUACAAGAUGAUAUAAGAGAUUCGCAUGGAUUUCUUAUCAAAGCUCCGGCGGUAUGAGAUGGACCCGCGUCUGAUUAGCUAGUUGGUAAGGUAACGGCUUACCAAGGCGACGAUCAGUAGCCGACCUGAGAGGGUGAUCGGCCACAUUGGAACUGAGACACGGUCCAAACUCCUACGGGAGGCAGCAGUGGGGAAUAUUGCACAAUGGGCGAAAGCCUGAUGCAGCAACGCCGCGUGAGCGAUGAAGGCCUUCGGGUCGUAAAGCUCUGUCCUCAAGGAAGAUAAUGACGGUACUUGAGGAGGAAGCCCCGGCUAACUACGUGCCAGCAGCCGCGGUAAUACGUAGGGGGCUAGCGUUAUCCGGAUUUACUGGGCGUAAAGGGUGCGUAGGUGGUUUCUUAAGUCAGGAGUGAAAGGCUACGGCUCAACCGUAGUAAGCUCUUGAAACUGGGAAACUUGAGUGCAGGAGAGGAAAGUGGAAUUCCUAGUGUAGCGGUGAAAUGCGUAGAUAUUAGGAGGAACACCAGUAGCGAAGGCGGCUUUCUGGACUGUAACUGACACUGAGGCACGAAAGCGUGGGGAGCAAACAGGAUUAGAUACCCUGGUAGUCCACGCCGCAAACGAUGAGUACUAUGUGUCGGGGGUUACCCCCCUCGGUGCCGCAGCUAACGCAUUAAGUACUCCGCCUGGGGAGUACGCUCGCAAGAGUGAAACUCAAAGGAAUUGACGG